GUGAGCAUCCGGUCUUUUAGGAACUUCAUUCCUGCAGCUCGCUAUGGAGACCAGGCUGACCUCAAACUCGUGUAGCCGAGUUAUCUUUGAAUUCUAAACCCUCCCUCCUCGACCUUCCAAAUGUCAGGAUUGCAGGCAGGUGCCACGACCCAUCUCAAUGUUUGUAAGACUAAAGAGAGUUAAAUGUCAGUGCACGGGCAGUUUGCCGAGCUAUUCGCUAGGGUUUACUUCGUACCUGGGUUGAAGUGUACUACGUAUCAGUGCUGCACAAUAAACUAGGAAGGUAGGGUAUUCUUCAGUCUCAUAGGAGUCCAAGGUCGCUUUUUGCUAUGUAACUGAUACUCCUCCUUCACUCCCCUCACCAGCUGCGUACCCACAGACACAUUUUUACAUAUAGUUGUCAGGAAGAUCACAUCUAAACCAAGUCAUGAAUUCAGUGCCCUAUACCUUGGGGUUUUUGUUUUGUUUUGUUUUGUUUGUAUCGCUCCAGAGACUUGAUGCCAUUAUCUAACUUAAUGGUUUCUAACUAGGUGAUCUAUGUAUUUUGGCUAGGAUAUAAUCAUAUCUCUGUAAGGUGUCAGACAGUUGAGUCGUUCGACUGGAGAUAAACAUAUUUGUCCCCAGUCGCAGUGAUUUGCAAGUCAUUGAUCCAUUAUAAUUAUAUUUGGGUACUGUAAACAAAAAAAGGAGAUAAUCCUUACAAGUUAGUAGUUAAAGCAGCUAUGUGAAUCUGGAUAUUUGUAACAGGCUGGAGACAGGAGAUGCAGAGGCAAAAGAAUAAUGAAGGAAAAUGAGUCUGAGCAGUAUUGUUACUGACACCCGUUCUGGCGUGGAAACAUUAUUUCCCAUGCCAGAGCUCCUCCCCUAUCCUCACCUAGUCGAUUUCCCUUAUUUCUUGUCUCAAGGACCCAUGCCUCACAAGCACCAAUCACUGAAUCAAAACUCCAGGCACCCCUUCUGCUUAAUCUUCAUCUUUUCUGUUCCUACCCCAGGGACUCACUCUCUCAUGUGAUUCCUGUGACAGUCUCCAAAUGGAAGUCUGAGUUGCCGUCAUUUCAGAAUCCAUCCUUGGCUCCAAGGCCCUCACUCAAACUGGCUGCUAGGAUAGGCUUUUAGAUCUGACUGUAGCACUUAACUUUCUUAUGUACAGGCCUCUUUAUCCUCUAGACAAAAACCAUAUAACUUUAGCACAUUAAGUCCUUAAUAACUCAGGCUUAUCCCUCUUUUGUUCAGUUCUCUACAACAACUAACAACAAAUCUUUGUGCCUCUGCCAGAGACAAAUUCUGUUUCCUAGGGUAUUCUGGUCUCUGAACUCAAGCUUUUGUUUCCAUUGUUUCCAUUGUUGCCUAGCUCCUGACCUGGUGAUGAUCCAUUUUGCCUCAGUUCGAGUUCUAACUCAAAUAAGGCAGCUGUUGUACUUUCCUUCCCUUUGCCCACCCUCUGUAUUUUGUGUAUGUGUCUCUGAGGACUUUGACCUACUUCUCAUAAUGAUUACUGAGUUCAAAUAUGAAGGAGUCGGACAAGUGGACGGACCACCAUUUGGCUUCCAACCACCAAAUUCAAAUGUAAUCUCAUUGAUUGCUUUCUUCCUGAAAUUCUCCCCCUGGUUUCUAAAAUGUCUCCAUCCCUCUUACUUCCUCCUAAACUCUGGUUGUCUCUUUGACAGUUGUCUUGUUUUAUCAAAUGCUUUGUGAUGCUACUAACUGGUUUUCAAAAUUGUGUCGUGUAGUCAAAUCCCCAUGGAGAUACAUUUUUAAUGUGUCCCAGGAGUCAUCAUGAGUAGCCAUGAUUGAACCAGGAUCUCCUGUUCCAUUCUUUUACGUUGAGUUUUUUCCUGAGUUGCCAUCUCCCUUAUGAAAUGUCUCCUUGCUUUCCAUUUUGAUGCCUGUGUGAGUCAUUACUUUCAAUUGCAGAUGACAGACUCUGCAUUUUCAUAUCAUGCUUUCCAUCUGGAACCCUUCCGUGCCUCCUUACAGUCCCUAGAAUGAAGCUGACGGUCCAUAACAUUGUUUUAAUGGCCUUCAGAAACAUGCUAUCUCUGCAGACUGACUCUCUUCAGGUCUCUGCACUCCCUUUCAGUUUCCACUUUUGUCAGUCCCAAAACAACAGCUGCAUUCCCUCCUCCCCCAAGGUCUAGACACACAUUGCUCCUCCUGUAUGGGCCUUACCUUUUUUUUCCCAGUUCUCCCUCCUAUAGUUCUAGUAACUUCUAUUUACCCUUUCAUUUUUGGUUGACCUUGGCUCAUUUUUAGUUUUCCCCAUCCUGCUGAUCCAGUUCCGUGUUACCACGAGUCUUAGUCACCCAGGACCUGUUGGUUGCCUUUUAUACUCUAAUUCUGGAGGAUGGAGAUUAGAAGGACCAAGAAGACAACUAGUUCCUGUUCCUGUGGAGACCCCAGCCUAGUAGGGAAAAAGAUAUUUUGUCUUCCCAGCUGGAUAUAAGCUGCCAGUGUGCAGUUAUCAGCGCCAUCAAGGAUUAAGCAGCAGAUGAGCGUCAACAGCCGGUGGCAAGAAAGAGAUGAGAAUGCUGAAGGACAUCCAUGCCCAAUUUUCACAAGAAGUGGGGAGAGGAGAAAACCAUAGCAUGUGCAAAGUGUCAAAGACUUGAGAAGGCCCAGAGCAAGACUCACAGAAGCCACUCUAAGGGAUAUCGAGGGAUGGCAUCCUGACAGUGUGGCUGGGCUCAGAUCCCUUCCAGGACACCCUUUAGAGCCACUGCAGAGCGAAGGACCAGAUAUUGAUCCUCUUCUACAGACACAGCUAGCAUAUCCAUGCUCAUGAAAAUUUGAUCCCCAAAGAUGGUUGCUUUGCAAAGUCUGAAUAAAGGGAAAUGGGUUUUAUAGACUAUUUUGCUUACUGAAAUGACUUCUUAAAUGUUAAGUAAAUACCAAUUUAGCAUUACACAUAUAGCCCUAAAAAGGCUGACAAAGAUGUCCCAAAUAGUGGGCUUCUUGUCUUUCAUUGUGAGAAGUGGGAUCCUGCUAGCAGAGUGGCAUUCCCUUGGCCCUUAGUACUCAUCUCUUUGAUUCUGCCUCUGGACACUGGGUCUCCCCCCUCUCUUACCAGAGGCCCUACCCAUCACUUAGCAUGAGCUGUUAUUUUUACGCAUACUCUUUGUGCAUACCAUAGAGAAAGAAACCGAUGAUUACUAUAAUUCUCCCAUCUCUGAGGUUCUCUUCUUUUUUUGCUCUCCCCAAACCUCAAACUUGAUAAUACUCAACUGUAACACACUUGUCUUCUUAAAUUAUCAGCCUGCUUCAGUUCCCACUGUAUCAUUUGCCUAACUGCUGCUACGCUGUUCAUUUUUGUUUAUGCCUAACACUUGGAUUCUGCCUUGGUACCAGCACAUUGAGAUAGUAGUAGAGAAGGUCAGUUGAAAAGCUUUAGCAACAGUUGCUUAUGGAAUUAGCAGUGAGAAAGACUUGUUUUGUAAACUUGGGAGGGGGGAACUCUCAAAGGCUGAGAAACGAAGGCCCCUUCCAAAACAUCUCUUCCUCAACCCUCAUCAGACACCCCUGCUCCUUCUCUUCUGUAGCUGAGCCAAGAUACUUGAUUGCUGCGCAGCGGCUCGCCGACUCCAGCUGACCACACCAACUGACCAUGCUAGCCCUGUCUACAGGGCUCUUGUGGACUGAGCUCCACCCUAGCCUGGAUCCACUGGAUCUACCAUUGCCUUAGCUCUUUAGAUCCCAGUUCCUGGACUUAUGUGACUUCCUCCCUCAUCCCACACUCACUUUGACAAUCCCCAGCCCUACCAUGGGACUCCUUUGCAAAUUUAUGUUAGUGUCCUCUGGCUGCCCACACGACAUCUCUGAACCCCUGAGGAGGAAUGCACAUGGUUGGUGUGAGCUGCAUGGCUUUCGGACUCUAUUCUGACAGGAGCAGAUGUCCAGAGCUUUCUCCCUUCGUGCUGCACAGCCCUGCACAGAUGCAGUUUGGGUGCUUGCCUUCUGGUUUUCCUUUUCUGCCUUCAAAGACUGGAUUUAGACAGUCCCCUCAGCACACACAUGUUAACAGAAUUUAUGCCUUUAAAAUAUUGUGGGCUAAAAGUGGUAAGCGACCAUCAGUGCUAGAAGUGUGUCUAAUGUCCAUGAAUAAAGCCCUUCUGAGGACCAGG
Mastomys coucha (southern multimammate mouse) is the source of this 4118-nucleotide long non-coding RNA. RefSeq lists it as uncharacterized. The record is from RefSeq and is a predicted model, not a curated record. Lineage: Eukaryota; Metazoa; Chordata; Mammalia; Rodentia; Muridae. The transcript is spliced from 3 exons.